This 179-nucleotide ribosomal RNA is filed under the name Rubus crataegifolius. Its description in RNAcentral is "5.8S ribosomal RNA". The stretch from base 11 to 166 matches the Rfam family "5.8S ribosomal RNA". From Rfam's summary of the family: 5.8S ribosomal RNA (5.8S rRNA) is a component of the large subunit of the eukaryotic ribosome. It is transcribed by RNA polymerase I as part of the 45S precursor that also contains 18S and 28S rRNA. Functionally, it is thought that 5.8S rRNA may be involved in ribosome translocation. Lineage: Eukaryota; Viridiplantae; Streptophyta; Magnoliopsida; Rosales; Rosaceae. The record is from RNAcentral.
AUGUCUAAACGACUCUCGGCAACGGAUAUCUCGGCUCUCGCAUCGAUGAAGAACGUAGCGAAAUGCGAUACUUGGUGUGAAUUGCAGAAUCCCGUGAACCAUCGAGUCUUUGAACGCAAGUUGCGCCCGAAGCCAUUAGGCCGAGGGCAUGCCUGCCUGGGCGUCACACGUCGCUGCCC